RNAcentral lists this long non-coding RNA (313 nucleotides) under Papio anubis (olive baboon). Its description in RNAcentral is "lncRNA (ENSPANG00000050703.1)". The record is from RNAcentral. Lineage: Eukaryota; Metazoa; Chordata; Mammalia; Primates; Cercopithecidae.
AAAAACAAAAAGAAAGGUGCUAAGUAAUCUGCUGUUGGUCACUUGUCUUCCAGCCCUCAAUCAGAAGACAAGAAAUCAGUCAUUCAACAGUAAUGACUCCCAGAACUGAUGUUCCAAACUCCAGAAGGGUCUCACUAGUGACAAUUCCAAGAAACUAAAGUUCUCAGGCAUUUGAACUUGAAGUGAUCCAUAAUACCAACAUCCCAGGCUCUCCAGUUUGCAGAUGGGCUGUCAUGGGAGACUUAGCUGUGAUAACCAUAUUAUGAACCAAAGGAGCCUACGUGGGAAACACUUUGGGGACCCCUUCACUUAG